This 423-nucleotide ribosomal RNA is filed under the name uncultured bacterium. Its description in RNAcentral is "bacterial SSU rRNA". It matches the Rfam family "Bacterial small subunit ribosomal RNA", at positions 382 to 815 of the family's 1533-position model. The record is from RNAcentral.
CCUGAGCAGCACGCCGCGUGAGGGAUGACGGCCUUCGGGUUGUAAACCUCUUUUAGCAGGGAAGAAGCGAAAGUGACGGUACCUGCAGAAAAAGCGCCGGCUAACUACGUGCCAGCAGCCGCGGUAAUACGUAGGGCGCAAGCGUUAUCCGGAAUUAUUGGGCGUAAAGAGCUCGUAGGCGGUUUGUCGCGUCUGCUGUGAAAUCCCCGAGGCUCAACCUCGGCCCUGCAGUGGGUACGGGCAGACUAGAGUGCGGGAGGGGGAGAUUGGAAUUCUGGUUGUAGCGGUGAAAUGCGCAAGAUUCAGGAGGACACCGGGUGGGAAAGCGGGUUCUUUGGUUAGUAACUGGACCCUGAGGGAGCAAAAGCUGGGUUGCAAACAGGAUUAGAAUACCCUGGUAGUCCACCCGAUAAACGGGGGGAC